CCCUUUAGAGAUUCGAUUCUUCACAUUGUCUUCUUCCUCCAACCACUCUAAACUAUCUUCAUAUUUCAUCAAUUCUUCUUGGAUCUAUUGAAUCUUGUUGAUAGAAUUGAACCUUUUUUCCUUCUGUUUUGUCAUCCUCAUUGGUAAUUGUCUUAGAAUAACCUCUUAAGACACUUUACCAUCCCAAUUAUAUUUUUUUUCAUGAGUCCUCUUUUUCUUAAAUCCUUUUCUUUGUUGCCUAGGUGAAAGAUCUCCGUCCCUAGCCACUUUAGCAAAGCAUUCAUCCAAUACUUCAUCCUCAUCUUCUUCGUCAAAUAUGUCAAUGCCUAAAUCAUCCUCAAACGCUUCUAUUGGAUAUUCUACAAAAUCUCCUGACUCACACCUCUUAGCCUGGAACCCUUUGGUAGGAUUAUCCAUAUCAUUCAAAGGUGCACUUAUUUAAGCCACAAGCUG
This 453-nucleotide long non-coding RNA is filed under the name Capsicum annuum. Its description in RNAcentral is "long non-coding RNA (CANN_LNC009627)". The record is from RNAcentral. Lineage: Eukaryota; Viridiplantae; Streptophyta; Magnoliopsida; Solanales; Solanaceae.